AUGGAGAACCAGGCACACAUCGCCGGCGAGAAGAAGGGCAUCAUGGAGAAGAUCAAGGAGAAGCUCCCCGGCGGCCACGGCGACCACAAGGAGACCGCUGGUACCCACGGGCACGCCGGCACGGCGACGCAUGGUGCCCCGGCCACUGGUGGUGCCUACGGGCAGCAGGGUCACGCUGGAACCACCGGCACGGGGUUGCAUGGCGCCCACGCCGGCGAGAAGAAGGGCGUCAUGGAGAACAUCAAGGAAAAGCUCCCUGGUGGCCACAGUGACCACCAGCAGACCGGUGGAGCCUACGGGCAGCAGGGACACACCGGCACGGCGACACAUGGCACCCCUGCCGGCGGCGGCACCUACGGGCAGCAUGGACACGCUGGAGUGAUCGGCACGGAGACGCAUGGCACCACGGCCACCGGCGGCACCCAUGGGCAGCACGGACACACCGGAACGACUGGCACUGGGACACACGGCUCCGACGGGAUCGGCGAGAAGAAGAGCCUCAUGGACAAGAUCAAGGAUAAGCUGCCUGGACAGCACUGA
RNAcentral lists this ribosomal RNA (540 nucleotides) under Triticum aestivum (bread wheat). RNAcentral describes it as "partial small subunit ribosomal RNA". Lineage: Eukaryota; Viridiplantae; Streptophyta; Magnoliopsida; Poales; Poaceae. The record is from RNAcentral.